CCUGUAAUUUCAGCACUUUGGGAGGCUGAGGCAGGCAGAUCACCUGAGGUAGGGAGUUUCAGAGCAGCCUAACAUGGAGAUACCCUGUCUACUAAAAUUACAAAAUUAGCCAGGCAUGGUAGCUCAUGCCUGUAAUCCCAACUACUUGGGAGGCUGAGACAGGAGAAUUGCUUGAACCCAGGAGGC
This is a long non-coding RNA of Sapajus apella (tufted capuchin), 186 nucleotides long. RefSeq lists it as uncharacterized. The record is from RefSeq and is a predicted model, not a curated record. The transcript is spliced from 2 exons. NCBI's taxonomy places the organism in Eukaryota, Metazoa, Chordata, Mammalia, Primates, Cebidae.